RNAcentral lists this ribosomal RNA (486 nucleotides) under uncultured bacterium. RNAcentral describes it as "partial 16S ribosomal RNA". It matches the Rfam family "Bacterial small subunit ribosomal RNA", at positions 28 to 507 of the family's 1533-position model. The record is from RNAcentral.
GUUGAACGCUGGCGGCAUGCCUUACACAUGCAAGUCGAACGGCAGCACGGGUGCUUGCACCUGGUGGCGAGUGGCGAAUGGGUGAGUAAUACAUCGGAACAUGUCCUGUAGUGGGGGAUAGCCCGGCGAAAGCCGGAUUAAUACCGCAUACGAUCUACGGAUGAAAGCGGGGGACCUUCGGGCCUCGCGCUAUAGGGUUGGCCGAUGGCUGAUUAGCUAGUUGGUGGGGUAAAGGCCUACCAAGGCGACGAUCAGUAGCUGGUCUGAGAGGACGACCAGCCACACUGGGACUGAGACACGGCCCAGACUCCUACGGGAGGCAGCAGUGGGGAAUUUUGGACAAUGGGCGAAAGCCUGAUCCAGCAAUGCCGCGUGUGUGAAGAAGGCCUUCGGGUUGUAAAGCACUUUUGUCCGGAAAGAAAUCCUUGGCCCUAAUACGGUCGGGGGAUGACGGUACCGGAAGAAUAAGCACCGGCUAACUACGUG